RNAcentral lists this ribosomal RNA (253 nucleotides) under uncultured bacterium. Its description in RNAcentral is "partial 16S ribosomal RNA". It matches the Rfam family "Bacterial small subunit ribosomal RNA", at positions 524 to 776 of the family's 1533-position model. The record is from RNAcentral.
UACAGAGGUCCCAAGCGUUGUUCGGAUUCAUUGGGCGUAAAGGGUGCGUAGGCGGCGUGGUAAGUCACUUGUGAAAUCUCCGGGCUUAACUCGGAACGGUCAAGUGAUACUGCUGUGCUAGAGUGCGGAAGGGGCAACUGGAAUUCUCGGUGUAGCGGUGAAAUGCGUAGAUAUCGAGAGGAACACCUGCGGCGAAGGCGGGUUGCUGGGCCGACACUGACGCUGAGGCGCGAAAGCUAGGGGAGCGAACGGG